Molecule: non-coding RNA, 27 nt
Filed under: Cricetulus griseus (Chinese hamster)
Lineage: Eukaryota; Metazoa; Chordata; Mammalia; Rodentia; Cricetidae
Source: RNAcentral
GAUUGCCACACAUGUCUGAGAACCUGA